GACGAACCGUGCGAACGUUGUUCGGAAUCACUGGGCCUAAAGGGCGCGUAGGCGGGUCGAAAAGUCCGUGGUGAAAGCGCCCGGCUCAACCGGGCGAGGCCAUUGGAAACUGGAGAGCUGGAGGGCAGUAGAGGCAGGCGGAAUUCCGGGUGGAGUGGUGAAAUGCGUAGAGAUCCGGAGGAACACCAGAGGCGAAGGCGGCCUGCUGGGCUGCACCUGACGCUGAACCGCGAAAGCCAGGGGAGCGAACAGG
Molecule: ribosomal RNA, 253 nt
Filed under: uncultured bacterium
Lineage: Bacteria
Description: partial 16S ribosomal RNA
Rfam family: Bacterial small subunit ribosomal RNA
Source: RNAcentral